UUAAAUUGAAGAGUUUGAUCAUGGCUCAGAUUGAACGCUGGCGGCAGGCCUAACACAUGCAAGUCGAACGGUAACAGGAAGCAGCUUGCUGCUUCGCUGACGAGUGGCGGACGGGUGAGUAAUGUCUGGGAAACUGCCUGAUGGAGGGGGAUAACUACUGGAAACGGUAGCUAAUACCGCAUAAUGUCGCAAGACCAAAGAGGGGGACCUUCGGGCCUCUUGCCAUCGGAUGUGCCCAGAUGGGAUUAGCUUGUUGGUGGGGUAACGGCUCACCAAGGCGACGAUCCCUAGCUG
This 294-nucleotide ribosomal RNA is filed under the name Escherichia coli. Its description in RNAcentral is "partial 16S ribosomal RNA". It matches the Rfam family "Bacterial small subunit ribosomal RNA", at positions 1 to 289 of the family's 1533-position model. The record is from RNAcentral. Lineage: Bacteria; Pseudomonadati; Pseudomonadota; Gammaproteobacteria; Enterobacterales; Enterobacteriaceae.